This 164-nucleotide non-coding RNA is filed under the name uncultured Cetobacterium sp. RNAcentral describes it as "Lysine riboswitch". It matches the Rfam family "Lysine riboswitch aptamer". Rfam says of the family: Riboswitches are metabolite binding domains within certain messenger RNAs that serve as precision sensors for their corresponding targets. Allosteric rearrangement of mRNA structure is mediated by ligand binding, and this results in modulation of gene expression. Lineage: Bacteria; Fusobacteriati; Fusobacteriota; Fusobacteriia; Fusobacteriales; Fusobacteriaceae. The record is from RNAcentral.
UUAGGUAGAGGUUGCAAAUAACAUGAGUAUUUUAAAUGAGCCGGACAGGUGUUGAUGUUAAAAGAAAGGGAAAUUUGCCGAAAUGGAGAUUAUGUCAAAAGUCUUUGUUGGGAGUAUAGAGAAUAUCUAUACUACUGUCACUGAGAAAUCAGUGUUGUGCUAUC